UACUUACUAGCUAGCACAGCUAAC
RNAcentral lists this ribosomal RNA (24 nucleotides) under Rivulus sp. 'Tobogan'. RNAcentral's name for it is "partial 16S ribosomal RNA". The record is from RNAcentral. Lineage: Eukaryota; Metazoa; Chordata; Actinopteri; Cyprinodontiformes; Rivulidae.